Molecule: long non-coding RNA, 1795 nt
Filed under: Homo sapiens (human)
Lineage: Eukaryota; Metazoa; Chordata; Mammalia; Primates; Hominidae
Description: HSALNT0033536
Source: RNAcentral
CGUCUCAAAAAAAAAAAAAAAAGAUUUCUUUCUGGCAAUAACACAGGUAAGAACAGGCUAGGAAAAGAUCCCCAGAGCUAACCCGCAGGAAAUGCUCGAAAGAAACCAGGCUGGGAGAGGGCACUGGCUAGAGGCAGGGCUCCGGGCAUGACUGACAGGAAACCCCAACACAGUGGGCUUGAUGGCAGUCAGCAGUCGGGCACAGGCCAAGAGCCAUAGCAGUAACAGCAGCAGCGACACAGGGACUCUGAGGGCCCACAGGACUGUCUCUGGGCCAGGGACUGGGGGCUGCCCCAGGUGGAGGUCAAUGACAGUGAGUUAACUCCUUAACUUUCACAAUUCACAAAAAUACUACAGAUUCCAUCUAGAUUAAUAUUUAUUUUAUUUUUUGGAAACAGGGUUUCACUACGUAGCCCAGGCUGGAGUGCAGUGGCUAGUCACAGGUGCAAUCGCAACGCACUACAGCCUUCAGCUCCUAGGCCUGAGCAUUCCUCCUGCCUCCGCCUCCCAGGUAGCUGGGACUCCAGGUGCACACCACUGUGCCCAGCUAGAUUAAGAUUCAAAUUAAAAAAAAAAACUCACUAAAAUAUUGAGAUAAUUUGUGUGAAUAUAUUAAUAUAAAUUCUGCAGCGGAAGUAUUCCUGAAACUGAUAUAAAGACAGAAACAAUGCCUAUAAUCCCAGUAUUUUGGGAGGCCAAGGAGGGCAGAUCACUUGAGCUCAGGAGUUCAACACAAGACUGGCCAACAUGGUGAAACCUAGUCUCUACUACAAAAAUACAAAAACUAGCCGGUGUGGUGGGGGCAUGCCUGUAAUCCUGGCUACUCGGCAGGCUAAGGCAGGAUAAUCACUUGAACACAGGAGGCAGAGGUUUCAGUGAGCUGAAAUCGUGCCACUGCACUCCAGCCUGAGUGACAGAGCAAGACUCUGUCUCAAAAAAAAAAAAAAAAAAAAAAAGACAGAAACCAGCCCAGUCCUAGUGAUCCAAAUACCAGUGACUUAUCUGGCCAGGAGCCUCCACACAACAAUCCCAAAGGGAAUUGUCACGAUCUCUGCACCCCACCCCCACCACUCCCCUUCCUACAGUCCCAAUCCUGGCUCAUCCUCUACCUGCUCACACCCUGCCCUCCUCCGGGUCAGCACCUGUGAGUCACCCCGGGCUCCUCCUCCUUCCUCCCUCUCCCACCCAAGGUCACCACAUCUUGGUCCCCUCUCUCAUCUGCCUUGAGUUGGCCCCGCUCGCCUCCUCUCUAGCCCUGCCCCACCUUCGGCCUCAUCCUGCCACAUCUGCACUCUGGCAGGAGCCGCCUCCCUGCUGGCCUCCCUGCUUCGAGUCAUGGCCACCUCUAGCCUCAUGGUUUGGAAAGCCUAUACAGACUACCUUGAUUACAUGGAUAUUUUAGAUUCAUGAAUGCUUUAAAAAUGAACAAGACUAAAUGACAAGUGAUAAUCUAGGAUAAAAUAUUUGUAAUAUAUGAGAAUUGGGCAAGGUGGCUCACACCUGUAAUCCCAGCUACUGGGCAGGCUAAGGCAGGAGUAUUACUUGAGGCCAGAUGUUUGAGGCCAGCCUCGGCAACAUAGUGAAACCCUCAUCUCCAAAAAAAAAAAAAAAAACCACACACACACACACACACACACGUAAUAUAUGACAGACAAGGAGUUAAUAGCCUGAAUACAUCUUUAAAAUAAAUAAGAAAAAAAUAAUAUACCACACUAAAUAAUAAUAAUAAACUACACAAAUGAAGUGGGAAAAAUGGAGAAAUAUAUCAAUAGAAAACAGAAAACUGACUGGGCUC